GCAUUUGAAGUUGUGAACCCAUUGGGAUCUGCAAAAAACAAGCACAAGAUCUUGGCUGUUUACUUUUCUCUACUCAAUAUGCCACCCCAUGUCCGAUCAAAUACUGAUCAUAUGCAGUUGGUCUUGUUGUGUAGAGAGAAGGAUUUCAAGGAAUUUGGCCAUUCCAGAGUUUUUUCAGAACUGUUGACUGACUUGAAAAUACUAGAGGAGAAUGGGAUAACUAUGGCAGAUGAAUCAGUUGUGAAAGGAGCACUGUAUUGCAUUGCUGGAGACAACUUGGGCUCUCACUGCAUCGGGGGUUUUACGGAAAAUUUCAGUACAUCUCAGUACUUCUGCAGAUAUUGUCUGAUUACUCGGUCUGAAUUUCAGAGUGAAAAUCCAGCUAUCAUCGGACCAGAGCGGACUCCAGAAACGUAUCAAUCUGCCACUGAACAGCUGGAAAGAGAGGAUGUGACAGAAGUACAGGGGAUUAAGUUCAGAUAUGAUGGAUACACAAAAGGACAUCCGCGAUGCCAUUCGAGCAGCGCUUCCUGGUCUUUCACAGGAAGUUUUGGCUGCUUUAGAGGAUGUGUUGGAGAAACUCGGCACUACAACCACAGAUGAUUUCCAGUAUAUCACCGAAGGAGACUUAUUGCCUGUGCUGAAGCCCAUACAGGCCAGAAGACUGGUUGCUGCAUGGGCCCAAAAUAACUCAAUGGCUUCAACUUCAGGCGGGGCAUCCUCCUCUCCACAGUCCGUUCAGUCCUCUCAAUCGGCAGCCUCACUUUCACAACCAUCGUCUGCUGCUACUUCAUCGCCUUCCCUGAGCUGCUCCCCAGUUUUGCCAACCUGGGUUGACAGUUUUCAGAUACCGUGGCAGAAGCUUCCAGAAGAGCUGAUACAGACUUUGGAACGACAGAAAAGGCCAAGUGCACGACUUCGAAGACAAAUGGUGAGGAUUAUUGUCUCUGAAAUGAUGCUGAUUUGCAAGAAUUGAACCAAACGCAACACUACUGAAAUAGCAGAAAGGAUGGUGAGCAGGUAUUCAAAGUCACUUAAGGAUGUCAUUGAUGGUGACGUUAUUGGACUUGGUUAUCAUUCCCUGGUAAAACAACUCCAGGCAAGAAUUGAAAAUGUCUAACGACAAGACACACCAAAGAUAACUAAACGCAAGGCAGAAUCAGAUAAUGACACUGAUGAGAUACCUGCUGAGCAGAAAGCCAGUGUUCAAGACACGUAUGGCUGUGUCAACUGGGCGCCAAGGUUUUUGCCCCUUUCUGAGACUGUAGAGUCAGCUUAAGAAAAAAGAAGACAUGAAAAAGAUGUUCAAAGACAAAAAAUAUGCUGCAGAAGAUGUGAAAGAACUUAUCAAGUCCACCUAUUACACGCAACGAAAGGACAUCAAUAAAGGUACAAGCAUCCUGAAGCUAUGCCAAGAAUGGCCUUUUUUGUUCCAUGAAACUGGCAUGGCAGAACACUUCCAGCAACUUACUGGCAUCAGUCUGAUGGAAGCCUUCUUCACCAAUCUGGACAAAAAGGGGGAGCGCAUCGUCAACUUCCUGAAAACUGUUUUUGCUCAGAAAGAAAAACAAGUUCUGGAGUCUCUCCUCAAGUUAGCAAGUGAAAAAGGUCAGUCCAGUGGUUGUACAGAGAUGAUUCUUCUUCUACUUGCUUUUUUUGGUGAGAAGGAAGAGCAUA
This is a long non-coding RNA of Xiphophorus couchianus (Monterrey platyfish), 1677 nucleotides long. RefSeq lists it as uncharacterized. NCBI's taxonomy places the organism in Eukaryota, Metazoa, Chordata, Actinopteri, Cyprinodontiformes, Poeciliidae. The record is from RefSeq and is a predicted model, not a curated record. The transcript has 3 exons.